CAGGAUCACAGAAAAAGGUCUGUGGAAUGUUCUCUUACCUUCUAAAAUAUUAAUUUAGAGAACUUGCAAAUUUGCAGAUUUUCCCAGAAUGGAACUAACUGGAACUCUUCAUUUUACAGCUAUGGCUCACUGCCCCUCAGGGGGCAGGGGGCUGGUGAUUCCUGAGGGAGCCCUGCCCCCUUCCAGGGUGAAUUUUCCUAAGUCACCAUGGAGAACCAGCAGCCCAGAAUCAGUGCCCUGCCAGGCAGAAUUGCUUGGCCAUAACAAAGAUCCAUUGCCUUUCUGAUGACACCCAGCACCUCGGAUUCUGUAUACACGGGAGGUGAUUUAAGCAUCUUACUGCCACCCUGAAAUCUGGGGUCCUUUAUCCUGGCAGGUAAGACCCUUUUGUGUUUUCCCGACACUUACUUCGGAGACCGCCCCUCUAAGCAGAGGGCCAUGUCGCCUGCUGCGUGUUGCUGAAUGGAGGCCCUAAUGUGAAUGGAGACUAGCCUGCUGGUAGAGACCUUGGCAGUGACCGCUGUGGGCAAUGAGCCAUGGGCCAACAAUAUUCAAUGCUGUGUACCUGAUGGAUGGUUACUGUCUGAGACUGAGGCUUUUUGGGCCAGGAGUAAAAGGACUUGGUUUGUACUUGAUUGCGUCCUGUGGAUGCUUGCCUACCAACUGACUCAUCCUGACGUGCCAAAGGUCCUGGCUUUCCCCUGUGUGGGACCCCUGAUUUAAUUAUUUACUGUGGAACCAUUGUCCUGAGUCAGGAGGAUAGAUGAGGAAAGAAUGAGAGCGUGGCUGGCAUCGCUUCAUGAUUACAUUCUGGGAAAGAUCUUGCCUGUUAACCUCUAGAGAAGGAGGGACGAUACAGACAAUGAAGACUAUAGCAGACUGAAUUACUCUCUGAGAUGAGGACUUUGCUAUUGCCAUUGCAGGAGGUUCAUGCUGCCAUAUCCCCCUGUUUAACAAGUGUGGAAACUGAUUUGUAGGAACAAACCAUCCCAUAUGCAACCAGACAGCUCCAUUCUGUUUUCACCGGCCCUGUGAGAUCUACACACUCAGUUCUGGGUGAGAAGACACAGAAUGGACUCACAAUUGCUGAUGUAUAGGUUCUAAUGUUUUCUAUUGUGGACACGGGACACCCAGACUGAGAACCAAUGGCUCCAGUCUGAUUUAAACAUGGGUCCGUGCUCACACACUCAAUACCUACCCUCUGUGCUCACAAGUCCUGUGUGAGUAAGACUCCAAAUUAUUCUGUCUUGUUUUACUCAAUGGUAUGCUCUACCUUAUUAUAGAGUAUACCAUGUAUUGAGACAAGAAUGCCAGUCAUUCUGAGAAACAAAAUGCAACCAUUAGUUGUCAUUUUAAUUAGUGACGAAUAGUUGUGUCAAUCAUCAAACAUGCUUGUAUAAUUGGAUGAGAAGAGGUGUAACACGGGCCAAUGAUGACGAGGUUUCGGGAUUAUAAGUCACGGACGAUGACUACGUCACUAGAGGUCUGAGGUCCAUAGCAGAAGAUGCCUCAUGUGACCCUCUCAUGCAGGGGUUGCAUGUCAGGCAUGUGCAUACAGUAGAUAUUAGCCAUGCACUCUCACCAUUUCAUAGUAGAUCACAGAAUCAAGAUACAAAUCUCCAUGCACGGAAAGGAUUUAAGGCAUUGAUCAAUCCUGAACAUAAAUAUUUGGCCAUCAAUGAUAUUUACGCACACACUGAAAAA
This 1704-nucleotide long non-coding RNA is filed under the name Mus musculus (house mouse). RNAcentral describes it as "RNA imprinted and accumulated in nucleus". The stretch from base 64 to 161 matches the Rfam family "Maternally expressed 8 exon 1". Lineage: Eukaryota; Metazoa; Chordata; Mammalia; Rodentia; Muridae. The record is from RNAcentral.